This 292-nucleotide ribosomal RNA is filed under the name uncultured bacterium. RNAcentral's name for it is "partial 16S ribosomal RNA". It matches the Rfam family "Bacterial small subunit ribosomal RNA", at positions 505 to 796 of the family's 1533-position model. The record is from RNAcentral.
GUGCCAGCAGCCGCGGUAAUACGUAGGGGGCAAGCGUUGUCCGGAUUUACUGGGUGUAAAGGGUGCUCAGGUGGUCUUGUAAGUCAGAGGUGAAAUCCCAGCGCUUAACGCUGGAACUGCCUUUGAUACUACAAGGCUUGAGUAUGGAAGAGGUUGAUGGAAUUUCGGGUGUAGCAGUGAAAUGCGUAGAUAUCCGAAAGAACACCAGUGGCGAAGGCGGUCAACUGGUCCAUUACUGACACUAAAGCACGAAAGCGUGGGUAGCGAACAGGAUUAGAAACCCUGGUAGUCC